Molecule: microRNA precursor, 102 nt
Filed under: Strigamia maritima
Lineage: Eukaryota; Metazoa; Arthropoda; Chilopoda; Geophilomorpha; Linotaeniidae
Description: mir-130 microRNA precursor family
Rfam family: mir-130 microRNA precursor family
About the family: The hairpin precursors (represented here) are predicted based on base pairing and cross-species conservation -- their extents are not known. In this case the mature sequence is excised from the 3' arm of the hairpin.
Source: Rfam by way of RNAcentral
UCCAAAUGAUACUUCUUCUAACAUUGCUGCACUGGCAACACUUUAACCAACCAACCAAUGUUGCCAACAGUGCAGCAAUGUUAGAAGAAGUAUCAUUUGGAA